AGAGUUUGAUCCUGGCUCAGAACGAACGCUGGCGGCGUGGAUAAGACAUGCAAGUCGAACGAUCUUAAAUGUGUAAACAUUUCAAGGCAGUGGCGAACGGGUGCGUAAUACGCAGAUAACAUUCCAAAAAGCAGAACAUAGCAUAGAGAAAUCUAUGAUAAUAGCCUAUACCCCUUUUGGGAAAAGGUGGAGACUUAGUUUCUACCGCUUUUUGAUUGAUUUGCGGCCUAUCAGCUAGUUGGCGAGGUAACGGCUCACCAAGGCAGCAACGGGUAGCUGGUCUGAGAGGAUGAUCAGCCACACUGGAACUGAGACACGGUCCAGACACCUACGGGUGGCAGCAGUCGAGAAUCUUUCACAAUGGGGGCAACCCUGAUGGAGUGACGCCGCGUGGAGGAUAAGGUCUUCGGAUUGUAAACUCCUGUCAUGCAAGAGCAAGAUUUGCCCGCAAACAGUUGGUAAAUUUGAUAGUAUUGCAAGAGGAAGAGGCGGCAAACUCUGUGCCAGCAGCCGCGGUAAUACAGAGGCCUCAAGCGUUGUUCGGAUUUACUGGGCGUAAAGGGUGUUUAGGCGGUGCAAGUAGUCAAAUGCUAAAUCCUCGAGCUCAACUCGGGAACAUUGUUUGAUACUGUUGCGCUAGAGUCUGGGAGAGGGGGUUGGAAUUCACGGAGUAGCAGUGAAAUGCGUAGAGAUCGUGAGGAAGACCAAAGGCGAAGGCAGGCCCCUGGAAAAGUACUGACGCUGAAACACGAAGGCCGAGGUAGCGAACGGGAUUAGAUACCCCGGUAGUCUCGGCAGUAAACGGUGCAUGCUUGAUUUGAGCCGAGGUUGAUUUGGUUCGAGUCGAAGUUAACACGAUAAGCGUGCCGCCUGGGAAGUACGGUCGCAAGACUAAAACUCAAAGAAAUUGACGGGGACCCGCACAAGCGGUGGAGUAUGUGGCUUAAUUCGAUGCAACGCGAAGAACCUUACCUGAGUUUGACAUGCUGGUGAAAAACGGAGUGAAAGCUCCGAAGUGAAGCAAUUCACAGCCAGAACAGGUGCUGCAUGGCUGUCGUCAGCUCGUGUCGUGAGAUGUUGGGUUAAGUCCCGCAACGAGCGCAACCCUUGUGGUUAGUUGCUACCCGAAAGGGGCACUUUAACCAAACUGCCUAGAUUAACUAGGAGGAAGGUGAGGAUGACGUCAAGUCAGGAUGGCCCUUACACUCAGGGCUGCACACGUACUACAAUGGCUAGCACAAUUAGAUCCGAAAUCGCAAGAUGGGGGAAAUCGCAAAAGCUAGCCUAAGUUCAGAUUGUAGGCUGCAACUCGCCUGCAUGAAGUUGGAAUCGCUAGUAAUGGCACAUCAGCUACGGUGCCGUGAAUACGUUCCCGGGUCUUGUACACACCGCCCGUCACAUCAUGGGAAUCGGUAUCGCCCAAAGGGGUCAUUUAUGGCUACAAAGGCAAUGCCAAUAACUGGGAUGAAGUCGUAAC
RNAcentral lists this ribosomal RNA (1477 nucleotides) under uncultured bacterium. RNAcentral describes it as "bacterial SSU rRNA". It matches the Rfam family "Bacterial small subunit ribosomal RNA". The record is from RNAcentral.